UCUGUGCAUGCACAGAAUCUGGGCCCAGGUGACUUAUGGAACCUUUAUAGAGACCAAGGUGACUGACAUUCAUGGGAAAGGGGGUAGAGGGGCAAUAACUGACUGUUCGUCAAAAAUUAUUAGACGAGUGUGUCCACGACACCAGGAGAUAUGUUGAAUCAUGGACAGGUACCAGCAUAUCCACUAAGCUCUAUAUAUGUUGAUGGUGCAAGAUCCAAGUGGGAUGGAACAACAAAUUCCUGCUCAUCCUCCUGCUCAAUAAUACAUGUGCUCAGAAUCUGUUCAUAAUGCAUGGUGAGUGGGAGGCAUAACUGCUUUGCCUCCAGUCGUCAUCUGGGGGCAUAUCUACUCUUCGAGGACCAGGGGUUCGGGACCCUGGAACAGGAUCUGAAUUCCAAGCUGACCUCAGGGGUACAUGAAGACUGCUAGAUGAGAUGGGAUCUCACUGUGCUGCCCAGGCUGGUCUCGAACUGCUGGACUCAAGUAAUCCUCCCAUCUUGG
RNAcentral lists this non-coding RNA (501 nucleotides) under Pongo abelii (Sumatran orangutan). The record is from RNAcentral. Lineage: Eukaryota; Metazoa; Chordata; Mammalia; Primates; Hominidae.